UACAGAGGGGGCAAGCGUUGUUCGGAAUUAUUGGGCGUAAAGCGCGCGCAGGCGGUCCCUUAAGUCUGAUGUGAAAGCCCACGGCUCAACCGUGGAGGGUCAUUGGAAACUGGGGGACUUGAGUACAGAAGAGGAAAGCGGAAUUCCACGUGUAGCGGUGAAAUGCGUAGAGAUGUGGAGGAACACCAGUGGCGAAGGCGGCUUUCUGGUCUGUAACUGACGCUGAGGCGCGAAAGCGUGGGGAGCAAACAGG
RNAcentral lists this ribosomal RNA (253 nucleotides) under uncultured bacterium. Its description in RNAcentral is "partial 16S ribosomal RNA". It matches the Rfam family "Bacterial small subunit ribosomal RNA", at positions 524 to 776 of the family's 1533-position model. The record is from RNAcentral.